RNAcentral lists this ribosomal RNA (273 nucleotides) under uncultured bacterium. Its description in RNAcentral is "partial 16S ribosomal RNA". It matches the Rfam family "Bacterial small subunit ribosomal RNA", at positions 524 to 796 of the family's 1533-position model. The record is from RNAcentral.
GACGAACCGAGCGAACGUUGUUCGGAAUCACUGGGCUUAAAGGGCGCGUAGGCGGGCUGUCAAGUCUGGGGUGAAAUCCCGCGGCUCAACCGCGGAACUGCCUCAGAUACUGACGGCCUCGAGGGAGGUAGGGGCGAGCGGAACUGUGAGUGGAGCGGUGAAAUGCGUUGAUAUUCACAGGAACUCCGGUGGCGAAGGCGGCUCGCUGGACCUCUUCUGACGCUGAGGCGCGAAAGCUAGGGGAGCAAACGGGAUUAGAAACCCCGGUAGUCC